ACACCUGUUUCCAUUCCGAAUACAGAAGUUAAGCUUCAAAACGCCGAUAGUAGUUGGAGGAACGCCUCCUGUGAGGGUAGGAAGUUGCCGUGC
RNAcentral lists this ribosomal RNA (93 nucleotides) under Ligilactobacillus aviarius. Lineage: Bacteria; Bacillati; Bacillota; Bacilli; Lactobacillales; Lactobacillaceae. The record is from RNAcentral.